AACGAACGCUGGCGGCAUGCCUAACACAUGCAAGUCGAACGAGACCUUCGGGUCUAGUGGCGCACGGGUGCGUAACGCGUGGGAACCUGCCCUUAGGUUCGGAAUAACUCCCCGAAAGGGGUGCUAAUACCGGAUAAUGUCUUCGGACCAAAGAUUUAUCGCCUUUGGAUGGGCCCGCGUUGGAUUAGCUAGUUGGUAGGGUAAAAGCCUACCAAGGCGACGAUCCAUAGCUGGUCUGAGAGGAGGAUCAGCCACACUGGGACUGAGACACGGCCCAGACACCUACGGGAGGCAGCAGUGGGGAAUAUUGGACAAUGGGCGAAAGCCUGAUCCAGCAAUGCCGCGUGAGUGAUGAAGGCCUUAGGGUUGUAAAGCUCUUUUACCCGGGAUGAUAAUGACAGUACCGGGAGAAUAAGCUCCGGCUAACUCCGUG
RNAcentral lists this ribosomal RNA (433 nucleotides) under uncultured bacterium. Its description in RNAcentral is "partial 16S ribosomal RNA". It matches the Rfam family "Bacterial small subunit ribosomal RNA", at positions 29 to 507 of the family's 1533-position model. The record is from RNAcentral.